GACGAACGCUGGCGGCGUGCCUAACACAUGCAAGUCGAACGAAGUAAGUUGCUUCACCAAGUGUUGAAUAGCUACCCCCAAGCGCAUUUGCCAAAGGGUAAGCAAAAAGUACUAUCAAUUAAAUAAAAUGGUGAAACAAAAGAAUAGCGAAGAAGAAGCAAAUGCGCUUCACGCUAAUUCCAAGUACCAACACAAAACAAAUUCAAUGUUUGGUGAAGCAACUUGCUUAGUGGCGGACGGGUGAGUAACGCGUGAACAAUCUGCCCCGUACAAAGGGAUAGCCUCGGGAAACCGGGAUUAAAACCAUAUAACACUUAACUGCCGCAUGGUAGUGAAGUCAAAUCGAGUAAGAGGUAUGGGAUGAGUUCGCGUCUGAUUAGCUAGUUGGUGAGGUAAGGGCUCACCAAGGCGACGAUCAGUAGCCGGCCUGAGAGGGUGAACGGCCACACUGGAACUGAGACACGGUCCAGACUCCUACGGGAGGCAGCAGUGGGGAAUAUUGCACAAUGGGCGAAA
This 516-nucleotide ribosomal RNA is filed under the name uncultured bacterium. RNAcentral's name for it is "bacterial SSU rRNA". It matches the Rfam family "Bacterial small subunit ribosomal RNA", at positions 28 to 380 of the family's 1533-position model. The record is from RNAcentral.